Molecule: long non-coding RNA, 3743 nt
Organism: Anolis carolinensis (green anole)
Lineage: Eukaryota; Metazoa; Chordata; Lepidosauria; Squamata; Anolidae
Exons: 2
Source: RefSeq, a predicted model, not a curated record
GGAAGAAAGUGGAGCAUCCAUUGCUGUGUGGUCAAAAAUAAUGUAACUGGAAAUAUGUACCAUCCCCUAAUAGCAAGAUGUUCACCAAGAGAAAAUUUGGCUCAUUAUGGCAAUCUCACUAUAAUGAGUGUGGCAUUAAUGAGGCCAUUGCAGGGACAAUGCAAAGUGGGAAAAUGUGGGCCCAAACAAAUUGUUUUUCAUCAGCGUUGUCCUAUUCUAGUACUUUGGAGUCUCUUAAAUGAAGCACCUCAAGUGGGCCUCUUUAACCAGGAAGAAGUGUGCAAUUGAGAAAACUCUUAUUUCUUCUUCUGACCUUGAUGUUUUUGCACACAAUCAGAAUGGCCAUAUACUUUGAAGCAGACUUUUAUAAAUCUCAACCUAAUUUUGCCAUAUUAUGGAUACAGGUUGUGCAGGAAGAAGAAGGCAUGCAUAACAAAGAAUACAGAAGAAUACAUACCCUACUGGAGAACCUAGAAAAGAAGGUAUAUCAAGUGACCGUGGUUAAUUUUAGUGACUUGAACUUAAUGUUACAUCUAAGAAUCCAUAUCCAAAACCAUAGUCUGGUGCCACAUGCUCACUAAAGGUCCUGCCGCAUAAGUAAAUUGAAUCACAAAUUGAAUCAAAUUGGGUUUCCUCUGCCUAUAUCAGCUGGAGAUAAACCAGAGUGAGAAGAUUUACAGCUUUCCUGUUUGUCUACAUCACACCACCGAGCACAAGGAGCAUUGGCCAAGGGAGAGAACCAGGUGUAGCCAAUGAAAAGCAUGUAGUACAGAAGGUCAAGUUUCUUUUUGCUAAAAUGUUGUAAUCCUAUAUACAGGCAGUCCCCAAGUUAUGAACAAAAUGGGUUCUGUAAGUUUGUUCUUAAGUUUAAUUUGUUUGUAAGUUAGAACAGGUACAGUUUUAUAGUGUAAUCCCAGCCGUGUGUGUGUGUGUGUGUGUGUGUGUGUGUGUGUGUGUUUUGGAUAACAUAGGGAAGGGUUAACACCUCUGUGGUGUUUGUUUUGCUGUCUGUGCCACUCUUCAGACAAUUUCACCUCCCUUUCUGUCCCUGUGAUAAUUAGAUUAGAACUGACCUUAUGGAGAAGAUUGAUAGACAGAGUAAAAGGAAAAGGGAAAUACAAAAAACGGAACCAUACGUUCUCCACAAUAGAUCAACUGAAAUAAUAUUUGAAUGAAAAAAGUAUUGUUCCCAGAGGGUGGGAGGAGAGGGGGUAGGGAGGGGAGUAAUAUUGUUAGACACUUGUGGAAGAGAAAUUUGGAGUUGGCAAUGUUGAGAAAAUUGAAUGAAUUAUACACUGUGUGUACUAUGAAAUGGUUGCUGAAAUCAACAUUAUUUUACCUCUGUCAAGAAAUAUAUAUAUAUAUAUAUAUAUAUAUAUAUAUAUAUAUAUACACACACACACACACACACACACACACACACAUACAUACACACACACACACACACACACACACACAUACAUACAUACAAAACCUGAGGUCUGGAGAUUAAGUUCGAAGCUCAGUGACACAGAGCCAGUCCCUGAAAUAUGGCACCCCUAAUUGCAGCAGAUGAUACUUGGGGCAUACCCAUCUUUUCUUGGGAAACAUGAAGUCAUGGGCAUAACCCCAAAGAGCUGUUCUCAGCACGGACGUUGCAGUCUGCCAGCACAAUAGGCUGGAGAACUCUAAUAUAACCACCAGGAUCACAUCAGUUGAGCAGCAGAGUGAAUUUAUUUAUUUAUUUAUUUAUUUAUUUAUUUAUUUGCAGUAUUUAUAUCCCGCCCGUCUCACCCCGAAGGGGACUCAGGGCAGAUCACAUUAUGUACAUAUAGGGCAAAUAUUCAAUGCCCAUUUACACAUAGAACUGAGACAGAGAAAGACACAGAGGCAAUUUAACCUUCUCCAGUGGGGAUGUUCGAUUCUGGCCACAGGGGGGAGCAGCUGCUUCAUCAUCCACUCUGAUGGCACUUCCUCAUUCCAAUGUCGUAAAUUAGUUAAAUUUGCCUCCCACUUUAUAAGUGGUAUCUUAUUUCCUACUUGAUAGAUGCAACUAUCUUUCGGGUUGCUAGGUCAGCAACGAGCAGGGGCUAUUUUUUAUUUUUUAAUUGACGGGUGCUCAUCCCGCCAUGGGCUGGCCUCGAACUCAUGACCUCAUGGUCAGAGUGAUUUAUUGCAGCAGGCUGUUCACCAGCCUGCGCCACAGCCCGGCCCCUGAAUGACCUCUCCCUGCCCUCUCCCUGCCACUCACCUUCUGUAGGAUGGGUCACCUGGUCAAUGGAAUCCCAAUAGGCCACUGCAACUAUGCCUCCUAUGUCCAAGGCCUUAUGAAUGAAUGAAUGAAUGAAUGAAUGAAUGAAUGAAUGAAUGAAACUUAAUUUAUAGCUCGCCCUAUCUCCCAGGAGGAGAUAGGGUGGCUUAAAACAAAAUACACAGUGGCAAACAUUCAAUGCUAAAAUUAAUAAAUAACUAAAUCAAAAACAACUCAUUAAAUUAUAAAACAACUUAAAUAAACAAGACAUAACACACUAAACAUAAUUACAAAUAUAUUAAGUCAUUAAAAUCGCUAAAAUUCGACUGAAAAUUGUUGGAGGGGAGGUGCACAGAGCAGCCUGAAGUCAGAGCUGGGAAAGAUUAAUCCACCACCAUCUGGCCACAUCCAAUCAGGUCAAUGUAAUCCAAGUCUGGUUGGGAUGAUCAUCCAGGACUGAGUUCUGGUUUGUGGGGAUUUUCCCAUUCAUUGAUCUAGCAUUGAAAUACAGGGUCAAAUAUGAAUGAAGGCACUCAUUUGUGGCACUCAUUUGUCCAGUCAGCUACAGAUGAUCUUCGACACAUUUAUAUUGGUAUCCCUGUCAUUUGGUGGGCCCUUCACUGGUUCUUUGAUAAUUUUAGAAAAAAGACAUCACAUUGGCUUAAAUGUUCUUAAGUGAAAAAGGUAUUCAGGAAUAACCCACAACGCCUUCCCCAAUGCACUCAUUUGUUUGUUUUAUCUGGCAAUACUUUUAAUUUUUUUAUAUAGUUCUGUUGAUCGUGUCAUAACACCAUCCACAAAGAACUAGAGCAUUUUUUUUUUGCAAAUUUCUUCCAUGUCUAUUAAACUGGUUGCUUGGGAACAUGAAAGUGUAUUUCCCCAAACAAUUGGGAACAGCUAUAUCAUCAUCAUAUUAAUAUUUUCAAUUGACCUGAUUAACCACCAUUCAUUUGUAAAACAAUUUUUUAUUAAAGAGUUACAUAUAAAGUACAAAUUAUAUUUUAAAAGAAUAUCAAGCAAAAGCAAAGAAAAAUAUACAGAAAAAGGAACAGCAAAGAAUAAGAGAGAAGUAAAAAAGCUUAUAUACAUUUGACUUUCAAUCUUCCUAAUUAUGAUUAUUCAAGUCAAAGUAAAAUAGCUUGUUCGUUUUUUAAGAUACUUUGAAGAUGAUUACCAUUAAUGCAUUUCUACAGCUUAAAUCAAUGUACUAAUCUACAAAUCAUCAAAACCUACACAUUGUUUUUUUUUCUGUGCAAAAAAAAGUUAAGCUUUUCAGUCUUUCAGAAAGGUUGUCAAUGAUUUUUCUCUAAUCAAACUUGUUAAUUUGGCCAUUUCAAAUAUGUUUGACAGUUUCAACAGCCAUUCUUGAUUUAUUGGUAUAGUUUAUGUUUUACCACUUCUGUGCCUACUGUAGACUUGUUGCUGUGGUCAUGUGUUGCUGUAAUUUCCCAUAUUUAUUCUCUAUUUAUUCUUUUGCUGACCCAACAAAUACAUUUCAGCUCUCCUUUGAAAA